UCUUUAUAUCAAGCUUCAAUGGCUAAGGAGUUCAUAAACUUGAAUUCUUGGAUUGAGGUAGCCCCAGCUCCUAUUAUGUACCCUCGGAAGAAGCCUUCCAAUUCACCAAGGCUUGAGCCUAUUGCUGAAGAGGGUGCUGAGGAAUACGAUGAUGAUUCAUAAUCUGGGUUGUUUUCUUUCCAUCUUCUUCUGUCUUGGAUUCUUGAAGAGCUGCUUGUUUUAGAAUUUUGCUACCGGAGUUCAGAUUUAUAUAAAAUGUUAUGUUGAGCUGAAUUGUUUAAAAAUCGAAGAAGUAGAGGAACCAUUUUAAUGUUUUCAGACUAUAGGUGGCUCUGAUCCGGAGCCCUUAGCUGUUGUAAUAGGGUCAUUUCAUGAACAUAUUACUGUAAAGAACAAUUUGCAUCAGAACAAAGCUUUCAAUUUACAAAUUAGUUUCUUUUGAUGUAAAUUUUAACAAAGCUUUCAAUUUGCAAAUUAGUUUCUUUUGAUGUAAAUUUUAUCUCCCUCUACGGAAAAUGGAGUUCUAAUUUGUUUUA
Long non-coding RNA from Quercus robur (English oak), 536 nucleotides. RefSeq lists it as uncharacterized. The record is from RefSeq and is a predicted model, not a curated record. Lineage: Eukaryota; Viridiplantae; Streptophyta; Magnoliopsida; Fagales; Fagaceae. The transcript is spliced from 2 exons.